RNAcentral lists this ribosomal RNA (508 nucleotides) under uncultured Glomus. Its description in RNAcentral is "eukaryotic LSU rRNA". The stretch from base 117 to 270 matches the Rfam family "5.8S ribosomal RNA". Lineage: Eukaryota; Fungi; Glomeromycota; Glomeromycetes; Glomerales; Glomeraceae. The record is from RNAcentral.
AUUACCAAUUUAGCGAACCUGGUCGCUUCUGACCAGGAUCUCGCGAAACCUGUAUUUAAAACCCACGCUUUUUUUAAAAUAAAAUUUAUCGUAUCAUUAUGAUAAGAAUUUAAGAUCACUUUCAACAACGGAUCUCUUGGCUCUCGCAUCGAUGAAGAACGUAGCGAAGUGCGAUAAGUAAUGCGAAUUGCAGAAUUCCGUGAGUCAUCGAAUCUUUGAACGCAAAUUGCGCUUCCUGGUAUUCCGGGAAGUAUGCCUGUUUGAGGGUCAGUUUAAAUAAACAUCGAGGUGUUGCUUUUUGUGACGCUUCGGAAUUGGGAAGUCUUGAUCCCUGGAUCAAGUGACCUGAAAUUGACACGUUUCCGUGCAUCUCGGACGUACAUAAGAAAUAUGUUUCUAAUACGUCAGGGUUUGCCGGGUUCUAUUAGGUGAGACCAUGUUGCUCGUGGUAUCUGUACCUAUAACGUAACUCAUAUUUUGACCUCAAAUCAGGUAGGAACACCCGCUG